GACGAACGCUGGCGGCGUGCCUAAUACAUGCAAGUUGAGCGCUGAAGGUUGGUACUUGUACCAACUGGAUGAGCAGCGAACGGGCGAGUAACGCGUGGGGAAUCUGCCUUUGAGCGGGGGACAACAUUUGGAAACGAAUGCUAAUACCGCAUAAAAACUUUAAACACAAGUUUUAAGUUUGAAAGAUGCAAUUGCAUCACUCAAAGAUGAUCCCGCGUUGUAUUAGCUAGUUGGUGAGGUAAAGGCUCACCAAGGCGAUGAUACAUAGCCGACCUGAGAGGGUGAUCGGCCAAAUUGGGACUGAGACACGGCCCAAACUCCUACGGGAGGCAGCAGUAGGGAAUCUUCGGCAAUGGACGAAAGUCUGACCGAGCAACGCCGCGUGAGUGAAGAAGGUUUUCGGAUCGUAAAACUCUGUUGGUAGAGAAGAACGUUGGUGGGAGUGGAAAGCUCAUCAAGUGACGGUAACUACCCAGAAAGGGACGGCUAACUACGUG
Molecule: ribosomal RNA, 497 nt
Filed under: uncultured bacterium
Lineage: Bacteria
Description: partial 16S ribosomal RNA
Rfam family: Bacterial small subunit ribosomal RNA
Source: RNAcentral